UCCAUCGAUAAGUUCACAUCUCUAAAACUAAGGGAGACUUUGUCGGUAGAAAGCUUUGCCAGUUCUCAAAUGAGAGCUCUAGCUCCUACCCAGUCCAAACGCCUUACUUCCACUCAAAUCCUCUUACUCGACUACUCUUUUCUACCUCUGUUCUCAGGCUCAAAGCUGACUUAAAUAUCAGAGGGUUAAGAACCGAAGGAUCCCUAUCUAAUUUUUUGACUUAUUUUACAGAUUUUUUGGAGAAGAUUCAGAUC
RNAcentral lists this long non-coding RNA (254 nucleotides) under Elaeis guineensis (African oil palm). RNAcentral's name for it is "long non-coding RNA (EGUI_LNC010940)". The record is from RNAcentral. Lineage: Eukaryota; Viridiplantae; Streptophyta; Magnoliopsida; Arecales; Arecaceae.